This 559-nucleotide ribosomal RNA is filed under the name uncultured Alphaproteobacteria bacterium. RNAcentral's name for it is "bacterial SSU rRNA". It matches the Rfam family "Bacterial small subunit ribosomal RNA", at positions 338 to 916 of the family's 1533-position model. Lineage: Bacteria; Pseudomonadati; Pseudomonadota; Alphaproteobacteria. The record is from RNAcentral.
CCUACGGGAGGCAGCAGUGGGGAAUCUUGGACAAUGGGCGCAAGCCUGAUCCAGCCAUGCCGCGUGAGUGAUGAAGGCCCUAGGGUCGUAAAGCUCUUUCGCCAGGGAUGAUAAUGACAGUACCUGGUAAAGAAACCCCGGCUAACUCCGUGCCAGCAGCCGCGGUAAUACGGAGGGGGUUAGCGUUGUUCGGAAUUACUGGGCGUAAAGCGCGCGUAGGCGGAUUGGAAAGUUGGGGGUGAAAUCCCGGGGCUCAACCCCGGAACUGCCUCCAAAACUCCCAGUCUUGAGUUCGAGAGAGGUGAGUGGAACUCCGAGUGUAGAGGUGAAAUUCGUAGAUAUUCGGAAGAACACCAGUGGCGAAGGCGGCUCACUGGCUCGAUACUGACGCUGAGGUGCGAAAGUGUGGGGAGCAAACAGGAUUAGAUACCCUGGUAGUCCACACCGUAAACGAUGAAUGCCAGUCGUCGGGUAGCAUGCUACUCGGUGACACACCUAACGGAUUAAGCAUUCCGCCUGGGGAGUACGGUCGCAAGAUUAAAACUCAAAGGAAUGACGG